UUCUAGAAAAAAAAUAAAAAAAAAUUCACACCUUUAAAUCAAAAUUUAAUCCCAAUUAAUUAGAUUUAAUUCACAACAGACUCAAACGCGAUCAAAAAGAAAAUUUGACAGCAAAAGUACAACCUUCCUGCUAUUCUCAUCAUCAUCAACAACUCAUACACCAUACACAAUCCACAAUAAUCACAAUAAAAAACUCACCACCAUUUUUCCUUCAUGACAUUAACACACCAUUAGUAUCAACCAUAAAAU
RNAcentral lists this long non-coding RNA (249 nucleotides) under Lathyrus oleraceus (garden pea). Its description in RNAcentral is "Pisum sativum (pea) long non-coding RNA (PSAT_LNC021007)". Lineage: Eukaryota; Viridiplantae; Streptophyta; Magnoliopsida; Fabales; Fabaceae. The record is from RNAcentral.